RNAcentral lists this long non-coding RNA (210 nucleotides) under Elaeis guineensis (African oil palm). RNAcentral describes it as "long non-coding RNA (EGUI_LNC016627)". Lineage: Eukaryota; Viridiplantae; Streptophyta; Magnoliopsida; Arecales; Arecaceae. The record is from RNAcentral.
UCGGAGUUCCAGAAGCCGACGAUCGGGCGGCCCAUUUGGGCCAGUCGUCCUGUAUCCUUCGGAAAGGGGAAACAGAGGGCAGAGAGCCUUCUGUCUGAUCAUGAUUCCACCCCUGGAGGAUCCCUACCUCCGUUCUGCCAGAAAACCCUCGAGAUUCGUGAUCGAGAGGAUCUCCUGGAUCAAAAGUUUCAAGAGAUAAACCGACGGAUC